GACGAACGCUGGCGGCGUGCUUAACACAUGCAAGUCGAACGGAAAGGCCCUGCUUUUGUGGGGUGCUGGAGUGGCGAACGGGUGAGUAACACGUGAGUAACCUGCCCUUGACUUUGGGAUAACUUCAGGAAACUGGGGCUAAUACCGGAUAGGGGCUCCUGCUGCAUGGUGGGGGUUGGAAAGUUUCGGCGGUUGGGGAUGGACUCGCGGCUUAUCAGCUUGUUGGUGGGGUAGUGGCUUACCAAGGCUUUGACGGGUAGCCGGCCUGAGAGGGUGACCGGCCACAUUGGGACUGAGAUACGGCCCAGACUCCUACGGGAGGCAGCAGUGGGGAAUAUUGCACAAUGGGCGGAAGCCUGAUGCAGCAACGCCGCGUGCGGGAUGACGGCCUUCGGGUUGUAAACCGCUUUCGCCUGUGACGAAGCGUGAGUGACGGUAAUGGGUAAAGAAGCACCGGCUAACUACGUG
Molecule: ribosomal RNA, 468 nt
Filed under: uncultured bacterium
Lineage: Bacteria
Description: partial 16S ribosomal RNA
Rfam family: Bacterial small subunit ribosomal RNA
Source: RNAcentral